GCUACAGCUUCUCACUGGCUGGGUUGUUGCUGGGCAGGGAGAGAAAUCCUCCUACUGGGGAGCAAAGUCUAAACACCUUCCUGUGGGAGGUGCAAGUCAGUCUCUUCCAGGUCAGUGUAAUUGACGAUGUGUGAUGGGGGUGAGAGCUCCCCUACAGGCCUUCCAGACUCCAGUUUAGGAUAAGCCCAGGUCACAGGAUUAAGGGUCACGGCGGAUGGCCUGGCACGCACUGGGCCCGCAGCACACAGCCUCCGGUCUCCCUUGGGCGUCCUGGAGUGAGCGUCUAGCACAGGCCCGAGAGCCCGUCCCUUUCUCUGCUGGACGAGCUCGGCAGCUGGAGCGGAGGGUAGGAUGGGAACCAGAAGCCUUCACCAGCACUCCCCCUAGGUGAGCUCGCCCGGAGUGACAGGGAUUGUGGUCACUGUCCUGACUGUGCUGCAGGCCCCAGGACCUGUGGGUGUUUUCCCUGGUGGUGGCAGGUGGCAGAAAGGCCCUUGGUAUUACAAGGGGCCCAUGACGGUGAGAACCCAGAAGGACACAGCUGAGAGCAGGAGCUGAUGCCGCGGGACCCAUUCUUCCAGAAGCUACUGGAGGCCAGGGCACCGUGGGGCAGUGUAGGUGGCUGUUGGUAAGGUGGCGGUGCUGCCAGUCCACGGACCCCCUGUGUCUGCCCUGGCUGCCCAAGCGGCUUUUGGUGGGCUCCUUAGGGCUGGGGGCUGUGCGGACUCAGACCCUGCUCCCAGGUAGAGGAGGAACCAGGGAGCCAGAAGGCCGGGUUGGUGGAGCAGGUUCCUGGGGACCCGCCUCCCUCACCCAGCCCCCACCAGCCUUCCUGGGGACUCCACUCAAAGGGAGCACUGAGUGAGCUGGUGGGUCUGCCUCUCUCCCAGGAAACUGGGGCCACUCUACUGAGUCUUGGGAAUCUUGCCUCUCCUGCUCACUCCCCUCUCACUGGUCAUCCCCUUGCCCUGUGUGUGGGCUCCGAGGUCAAGACUAGAUAAGCCAGGGUGGACAGGAGUCUAGGACCCACAGAGCCAGCAGGACCAGCCAAACCAGACCAGAAAGGUGGGGCUGAGGUGACCGAUGGGGAAAGAGAAGGGCAGACACAUUUAUUCAUCCAUUUAUUCACUUGCUCGAGGAGCACUGACAGGUCCUUGGGAGUGCAGUGUGAGCAGGGGAGGUGCUCUGGCCUGAAGGCAGAUUCCCAUGCAGGUCAGGGUCAGGGCUUGGGGUUGGCAUUAGCUGCUGGCAAGGGCAUGGUCUUGGGAAGUGCCUGGACCUCGGAAGUGGGAUAGAAGGGCAAGGGCACCAUCCAUCCAUCCAUCCGUCCUUCUGUCCAUCCAUCCGUCUGGGGCCUCCUGUGUGCCAGGCCCAGGGCUGGGCACUCACAUCCACAGCCUCGUUCAUUCCCACGAGGUCCCAGCUCGGUGGGAAUGAUCACCCCCAUUUUAUCAACAACACUGCUGAGGCUCAGAGAUGUGAAUGACGACCUCCUGGCCCCCCUGAGGGGUAGCAUCCAACAAAACUCGCUGCAGGGGGGCAUGAAAAAGGAAGGGGCAUCUGCAUCGCUUUCCCCCUCUUUCAGAGCUGUGGAACUAUGAACAAAGCAUGUGUUCCUCACAGCAAAUCAGACGCUACAGGGACAUGAAGAGUAGCGGGCCAGCCUCCCCUUCCCGCAUCCGGCAGCAGGGCCACGGCUCUGCGCUGACACCCUCCUGAUACCUUCAGGCAACCUGGCCAGACCGGACACUCUGUGCUGGUGUGCGCUUCCUGCUGCAGAUGCCAACCCAACAGUGUCUCCAGGGCA
Molecule: long non-coding RNA, 1807 nt
Organism: Equus quagga
Lineage: Eukaryota; Metazoa; Chordata; Mammalia; Perissodactyla; Equidae
Exons: 2
Source: RefSeq, a predicted model, not a curated record